Molecule: long non-coding RNA, 414 nt
Filed under: Bos taurus (domestic cattle)
Lineage: Eukaryota; Metazoa; Chordata; Mammalia; Artiodactyla; Bovidae
Description: long non-coding RNA NONBTAT013974
Source: RNAcentral
AUUAAAAUAACUCCCAUCAAAUUUGAUGGUAUAACUUCAAGGGAUUAAGAAAUAACUAUUUUGGAUGAAUAUUUUGCUCAGUGGGGUUUUUUUUGGGGGGGGGUUGUGAAUAAGUGUAUAUAAAUGUGUGGUAUAUUACGACAGUUUUAAGUGGUCGUCAGAAAAUUAAAACAGGUCUUAAGGUAUAUAUUUAACUUCCUUUGACAGCAAGGAAGGCGUUUGACCAGAGUAAAUCCUUCAGAACUUUGCAGUGGGACCUCAGAGAAUCAUCUCUGAAUGGAGGAGAAAGUUCGUGCUUCAAUAAAAUUAACCUUUGCAGAAUUCUCCCCGUCUCUCCUGCCGUCUGAUCCUUUCCCCUCUGGAUUUGGGUGCUUUUUAACUGCAGUUCAGAAAAGAUAGGGAGAGUAGAAUUUC